This 435-nucleotide ribosomal RNA is filed under the name uncultured bacterium. RNAcentral's name for it is "bacterial SSU rRNA". It matches the Rfam family "Bacterial small subunit ribosomal RNA", at positions 29 to 464 of the family's 1533-position model. The record is from RNAcentral.
AUUGAACGCUGGCGGCAUGCUUUACACAUGCAAGUCGAACGGUAACAGGGAGCUUGCUCCGCUGACGAGUGGCGAACGGGUGAGUAAUGCAUCGGAACGUGCCCAGUCGUGGGGGAUAACGUAGCGAAAGUUACGCUAAUACCGCAUACGUCCUGAGGGAGAAAGCGGGGGACCGUAAGGCCUCGCGCGAUUGGAGCGGCCGAUGUCGGAUUAGCUAGUUGGUGGGGUAAAGGCCUACCAAGGCGACGAUCCGUAGCGGGUCUGAGAGGAUGAUCCGCCACACUGGGACUGAGACACGGCCCAGACUCCUACGGGAGGCAGCAGUGGGGAAUUUUGGACAAUGGGGGCAACCCUGAUCCAGCCAUGCCGCGUGAGUGAAGAAGGCCUUCGGUUGUAAAGCUCUUCUAGACGGAAAGAAAACGACAUACGGUGGAA